AAUUUUAAUUGAGAUUUGUUGUUUUGAAUUUGUCCCCUGCACUUUCACUGGCUGUUGUCAUAUCGAUCCUGUUAGCGGGAUUGCAGCCCUAAACAGUUUUAAGCUCAUCUUUCUAUGUUUGACAUUAUUAUAGAAUAUAUACUAGGGCCCUUCACUAGGACAGCAAAUAUGUUUAUUUUGCACCCAGUGAAAUUCAAAGGUCUAUUUGUUAUCUAUAAUUGCCCCUUCUACAUUUUCAUACACAAAAUUGUGUAGUAGACCUUUACAGUAGAUCACAGUUCAGGUUAUUAACACAAUCCUGCAAAUUUGUCUACCUACAAGGACAACCAGCAUAGCAAUAUGACAGCCUGGUAAGAUACCACUCCGAUCACGUUUUAGGUUGUAACUCCUUGGCCAAUGGAGAAAAAAAUACAAACCAUUCUCUUAUAGGUGUCUUGUUUUAAUGAGCAAUGAACACUGUUAAAUUACUGAAUUAAUUUAAUAGUGCAUAACUCUUAUUUUGGUUAAAUAUUGAGUAAACCAAACUGGUUUAUUAGACUUAUUUGCUGUAUAAUCGUCAUUUUGCUGAGUCACAACAUGGCUUGGCUUCAGAAGAUGGUUUUGGUCAUAGACUGUAUGGGUUAUAGACCGUUUACACCCCGACCCGAGUACUUGUUCUGACACCUCUGGGCCCUCAUUUAUAAAACUGUGCGGAGGAUUCACUCAAAAGGUGGCGUACGGACAAAACACAGAAUGUGCUUACGCACAUGAUUUAUAACACAGUGCGCACGCAUGUCCCACGCCGGUUACCCUUCACAAAUCAUAAUUAACUCGAAAUUUGGCGCACGUGAGCGAGCGUCUUGUCCCACCCUCUUAACGCUCAUAGUUGCCUAUAAAUAGUCAGUGAAACGCCCCUAAUUAAUGUUCAGCCAUACUGACGGCAAAGCACGACAGAAAGGCAAAAAAAAAAAAACAAUUUCACGAAGUUCUUGAAGGGGAGAUUGAAGCAAGAACAAAUAUAUUGUUUGGUGGACAAGGUGUGGGCAUUACAAAUGCCAAAAAGCGUUAGUGGCAGCAUGUGGCGGACGCUGUGAAUGCAGAAGGUAAAAAAAAGACGUGGUCCGACAAAAGUGGAGGCCGAAAGGCACACAGCCGUACACAGACAGUGUUUGUGCCACGAGCGGGGGAAAGGGGACACCGGAGCCCAACCCCCUUAAUGGGCGACUUGCCAGUUUUAUAGGGGAAUCCCACCUGAGUGGAGUAGCGACGGAGGAGGACACGGACAUGCAGGACGGGAUGACCCAGUCCCUGAGUGUUCCAGCGGGCCGGUGGCGCUGCAGCGGAGCAAGAGCUGAGUGCCCGGUGGCGCUGCAGCCGAGUAAGAGCUGAGUGCGCCCAGCCCUGGCGUCUCCACUGCACCUCGUGCAGUCCUGCAAACCCAGAGACACCAUCGACGCUAUUAACGUCACUCGCUCCGAGACCUUGAAGUAGUUGCAGAGGGUCCAUGGUUCGAGCCCAGGUUGGGGCGAGGAGAGGGACGGAAGCCACACUGUUACAUGGGUGCUUCUCUGUAAAGCUGGGCCCAGUACAAGACAGAGAUCCAAGAGAACAGCUCUUGGUAAUUGGAACCUGCUCAUAAGCCACUCAUUGGCCAGUAAAUCUUCCAUUCGCCAAAUCUUUUGACAGUACUAAUGCAGCCAUUGUGCGUCAUUACGCAUUGUAAUUGCAUGCCUUGUUAUACCCACCCAUUUGAUUGUCAAAGCUACCCAAUUGCGUAACACCGUCAGGUGUGGUAAUUACCCUGAUUGUAACUGACAAUGACAGGGCCAUUAUCACAUUGACAGUUCUGCACAACGAACAUGUGACCUAUCUGCCCGACUGAGGCAUUGAAAACAGCAUCAGUUUAAACGUAAUUUGUCCUACUGUUCACCUUAUUAUUUAUGAGAAUACAUUUCAUAACAUUCAAGUAUGGUUUAAUAAUUAUAGAUUCAAUUAAAUAUGAUUCCCGAUUAAACUGUACAACAUAAUUUGAGGGGUUCUUUUGCGAAAA
This is a long non-coding RNA of Oncorhynchus mykiss (rainbow trout), 2029 nucleotides long. RefSeq lists it as uncharacterized. The record is from RefSeq and is a predicted model, not a curated record. NCBI's taxonomy places the organism in Eukaryota, Metazoa, Chordata, Actinopteri, Salmoniformes, Salmonidae.